Molecule: non-coding RNA, 568 nt
Organism: Seriola aureovittata
Lineage: Eukaryota; Metazoa; Chordata; Actinopteri; Carangiformes; Carangidae
Source: the annotation of a RefSeq genome assembly
UCUGAGGACGACCAACAGAAGCAACAGUCUCCUCUGCUGCAACCAACAGGGUGGAGUUUAUUUUCUCCUUGUAUGAACUUUCUUCAUAUUGUCUCUCUGUCUCCUCCUCCAGUGGGUCGAGUGGCCCCCACCCUGACGGUGCUGCCCCCCUCCAGUGAGGAGCUGCAGCAGGAGAAGGUCACAGUCCUGUGCCUGGCCAACAAGGGCUUCCCCUCAGACUGGAGUCUGGCCUGGAAGGUGGAGGGCAGCAGCAGCAGCAGCAGCAGCUGGGAGGAGAGCAGGAGCCCCGGGGUGCUGGAGAAGGACGGCCUCUACAGCUGGAGCAGCACCCUGAGGCUCCCUGCAGACCAGUGGAGCAAGCUGGGCUCUGUGACCUGUGAGGCCACCCAGGGCUCCCAGACUCCGCUCUCAGAGACACUGAGGAGAGACCAGUGUUCCCAGUCCUGACCUGACUCACUGGGACUCUUUUACUGGUUUAACUCUGCUCCUGCUCUCUCUCUCUGCUCUCUGUAACACUGUCUCUCUCUCUUUUAUUUCACAUGUUUCACUAACAAUAUUUACCAGCUUC